This 322-nucleotide ribosomal RNA is filed under the name Bacillus cereus. RNAcentral describes it as "partial 16S ribosomal RNA". It matches the Rfam family "Bacterial small subunit ribosomal RNA", at positions 27 to 332 of the family's 1533-position model. The record is from RNAcentral. Lineage: Bacteria; Bacillati; Bacillota; Bacilli; Caryophanales; Bacillaceae.
AGAGGGGGGGGGGGGGAGCUGCGCGGCCUAAUCAUGCAAGUCGAGCGAAUGGAUUAAGAGCUUGCUCUUAUGAAGUUAGCGGCGGACGGGUGAGUAACACGUGGGUAACCUGCCCAUAAGACUGGGAUAACUCCGGGAAACCGGGGCUAAUACCGGAUAACAUUUUGAACCGCAUGGUUCGAAAUUGAAAGGCGGCUUCAGCUGUCACUUAUGGAUGGACCCGCGUCGCAUUAGCUAGUUGGUGAGGUAACGGCUCACCAAGGCAACGAUGCGUAGCCGACCUGAAAGGGUGAUCGGCCACACUGGGACUGAGACAGGGCCC